CUGAUUUUCAAAAGAAAUGAAAACAUGUUUAUGUAUUCCUAAACAUAUCCUGGGUCUCGGGCAUGAUACCUCCUGUGUGAGCCCUGCUCUCCACACGGUGGCAGGGUUCUGUCUCUUUAUGAUGUGUGCAAGAUGACACUAGAUGCUAUGAGGACCAUCUGUUUUUUAAGCAGGUAACCACACUGAACAUGUUAAACAAUAUGUAUCAUGUGCUGAGUGUUUACUGUGUGCCAAGUGCUUCAAACUCAUCAUUUAAGUUAAAGAACAGCCCUGUCAGAUAGGAACUACUCUCUGCCCUCCAUGGCCAGCAUAUACAAAGAGGUAUAUUUUUCCAAAUGCUUCCAUACAUUGUUUCUAAAUGUAUAUUACAGUCCAUAGUAUGAGGGACACCAGGGGACCCUCCAGUGGGCGCUACAAGAUCUUAGGGAAGAGGGAAGCUGAGGGUGGGCUUUGGAGAAGAGUCAUUACAGAGAUGAAGUGGCAGGUGGCAUGGAAAGGUAUUUGGGAAGUGCGGAGGUGACAAUAAGAACGGCACAUUGGAGCGUCAUGAGGAGACUUCCCAAGAUGGAAGGGACUUGAGGUCUGGAACCGAGGGUGACCGGCAGGGUGGGUUUUGGAGAGUGAGAAACGUGGGCCCAAUCUAAUGUUCAGUGGAAGGUUCUUUGUCUCCCUAAGCCCUAAAAUCCAGCGGUAAAUCAUCAAUAACAUAGCAAAGUUUUAGCCACCUUCCCUGUCUCAGUUCCUUCUUUGUUAAAUGAGAGUCACGGUGCUUGCCCUGCAAUCUCAGAGACUCAGUUCAAAUGAUUGUCAGCCCCACAGGUGGGGGAGCCGGUGUCUGAUUCCGGCUGUAUUGUCAGGGCCUCAGUGCUCAGUACAGGUUUGGUGGAGGAAUGGACGCCAUAGCCUACAAUCCCAAAAGCUGCAGCCGCAGGAGGCAGCGUGGCUGGAGAAGGGUCCCGAGCCAGAAGAGGGCGCUCUUCAGCAAAACAAGGUUUGAAGGAAACCGCCAGGAUGUUCCUUAUAUUCUUCUCCAGGAGCAUUUUUUUUUCUACUCUGAUAAUGACAACUCAAGUAAUUACCUUAAUUUGGUCUUCAAGCCUUCUGUGAUCUCUGGGGUAGCCUGCCUGGAAGAGUAGUUGGAGGCUACUACCAUUGCCUCAAGGUAAUCUUCCAAGGGACAGGGGAGUCUUAGAUCAGGCUUCCCGGGAGCAAAGCCAGAGAUAGGGAUCCUUGUGCCAGUAGUUGAUAAGGAAGCUCUCUCUGGAGAAGGUGGUCUGGAGGAAGUGGGUAAAACGAGAUAGGAUAGGGGAAGAAGUAAAGUAAGGAUGAGGCUCAGCUGCAGAAUAAUCUCAGCCUGGCUCCACCUGGGAGCCCUAGGGGUGUGGAAGGCACUAUGGAUUGGGGCUUCCUUGAGGCAAGAGGGCCAGCCUUUGUACCUUGUUUUAGGAUAUGGUAAAGGGGGUCUUGGUGGGACACCAGCAGCAUCCCUGACAGGGGAUUGGCCUGAACUCCCCUCCCAGGUGAGUAACAGGGGCAAGGGAGAGAAGCAAGAACAUGGCUGGGAAAGUGGUGACAUUAAGGACUGGAAAGGCAAGGUGCGAUAUAGUCUGGAGGUGUCUGAAAGUGAGAGAAAGACCCAUGAAAGCCAAGUGCAAACUGAGAAUAAAUUUGCCACACUGAUGGUAUCAGUGUGGUAUCAGUGUGGCUGAUGGUAUCAGCCUAGGACCAGGCUAGGCCACACUGCAGUAACAAAUGAGCCACCAAGUCCAUUUCUUGCUCACACUAUCUAUAUGUCCAUUGCAGACCAGCAGGGGCCUUUAUGCAGUAUUGGCAAUCAGGGAUCUAGGCUGAUGGAAGCUCUCACUUGACAUGAGCUUCCGCUAUUGCAGAGGUGGGGAAGAGGACACUGGCUCUGGAAGCACGCAUUUUUUUUUUUUUUUUGAAAUGACAUGGGUGUCACUGCUGUUCAGAUUUCAUUGGCCAAUUCCAAGGCCAGGAAGCCAUAGGGAGCCACGGUGUGUUCUUGAGCAUGUGUGGGAUUUGGAGCAGUGUGUAGGAAGAGUCAGAUGACCAUGGCAUGUGCUGGGAGGAGCUGCUGGCAAGGAGAAUAGCUGGGACCGGUCUGUGCAGUAAUACACUUGAAGCAUCUUUCCCCUCUGAGACCUUUGGGCAACUCUGGUAAGAAGGCUACUUAUCAGGGUCUAGUUUUUGCAGCCAUCAGCCUCGUUCUGCAGGAAGAGGAACCAGUUCUAUGUCCUCAGGAGGGAAGCCUCACCAAGCCAGGACCAGGAGUUGGAAGAGUGGGGAGGGCUGCAUUGCUGAAGGCCCUCCCUCAGUGAACACCUCAUAAAAAGUUCUGCAGCUGAUCUAGGCAGGCUGCAGAGGGCUGAAUACUGCCAGAAUUGUGCACACUGAGCUGGCUCCACAGGCAGGGUUACCUGAUCUCUAAGUCAUGCUGGACUUUGAAGCCUCAGGCUUUUAUUGGAGGUGCUAUGACCACCUGGUCAGCUACAGGCUGAAGAUUCCUGGCAUCAGAAAAAGCCAGUCUCCAGUCAAUGCUCCUUCCUCAGUGUGGAGGUUUGAUUGUCCAUCAAAACCUCAAGGGCAGUGGUUCUUUAACUUCAGCAUGCAAAAGACUGCCUGGAGUGCUUUCUAAAAGUGCAGACUUCUGGGACCCAUCA
Molecule: long non-coding RNA, 2681 nt
Filed under: Homo sapiens (human)
Lineage: Eukaryota; Metazoa; Chordata; Mammalia; Primates; Hominidae
Description: HSALNT0213269
Source: RNAcentral